RNAcentral lists this ribosomal RNA (164 nucleotides) under Appendicula cornuta. RNAcentral describes it as "5.8S ribosomal RNA". It matches the Rfam family "5.8S ribosomal RNA". From Rfam's summary of the family: 5.8S ribosomal RNA (5.8S rRNA) is a component of the large subunit of the eukaryotic ribosome. Lineage: Eukaryota; Viridiplantae; Streptophyta; Magnoliopsida; Asparagales; Orchidaceae. The record is from RNAcentral.
UAUAUGACUCUCGGCAAUGGAUAUCUCGGCUCUCGCAUCGAUGAAGAGCGCAGCGAAAUGCGAUACGUGGUGUGAAUUGCAGAAUCCCGCGAACCAUCGAGUCUUUGAACGCAAGUUGCGCCCGAGGCCAACCGGCUGAGGGCACGUCUGCCUGGGCGUCAAAC